ACACGCAUGACACACUGCAUAUCAAUAAGCGGAGGAAAAGAAACUAACUAGGAUUCCCUUAGUAACGGCGAGUGAAGCGGGAAGAGCUCAAAUUUGAAAUCUUCAAGGUUUUACCUUGACGAAUUGUAGUUUAAAGAAGUGUUUUCUGUUGGAGUUUUGGUAAAAGUUCUUUGGAAUAGGACAUCAUAGAGGGUGAGAAUCCCGUAUUUGACCAUUAUUUCCAGCUUUGUGAUACACUUUCAAAGAGUCGGAUUGUUUGGGAAUGCAGUCCAAAAUGGGUGGUAAAUUUCAUCUAAAGCUAAAUAUUGGCGAGAGACCGAUAGCGAACAAGUACCGUGAGGGAAAGAUGAAAAGAACUUUGAAAAGAGAGUUAAACAGUACGUGAAAUUGUCAAAAGGGAAGCGUUUGACACCAGUGUUGUUUUCUCGAAAAUCAAUUAAAAAUGAUGGGAUUUUGUGUUGUAUUGACUUUAUCAGCUUUCUGCACUUUUUUCUUAUCUUUUUUAAUGCACUUUUCGUUUAACAAGUCAACAUCAGUUUCUUUUGUUGUAAAAGGGUCAUUGGAAGGUGGCUUUCUUUUCGGAGAAAGUGUUUAUAGCCUUUGGCUUCUGCAAUCGGAGAGAUUGAGGUCUGCAGCGUAGAUCCUUCGGGGUUAGAUACAUUUGUGCUAAGCUAUAGCCUUGUAUAGACAACUUGUUGACUAUGCUCAGUCAUGUAGCUUACUCGCUUGUGCUAUUUUACCUACGCUUAGGAUGUUGAGCGCAUGUCUCUCUCU
This 774-nucleotide ribosomal RNA is filed under the name uncultured Neocallimastigales. Its description in RNAcentral is "partial large subunit ribosomal RNA". It matches the Rfam family "Eukaryotic large subunit ribosomal RNA", at positions 23 to 616 of the family's 3401-position model. The record is from RNAcentral. Lineage: Eukaryota; Fungi; Neocallimastigomycota; Neocallimastigomycetes; Neocallimastigales.